AGUUCUGCCCGUCACCUAGCAACCCCAGUAGAGUUCCGCCCAUCACCUAGCAACCCCAGUAGAGUUCCGCCCGUCACCGAGCAACCCCAGUAGAGUUCCGCCCGUCACCGAGCAACCCAAGUGAAGUUCCACCUGUUACCUAGCAACC
Long non-coding RNA from Poecilia latipinna (sailfin molly), 148 nucleotides. RefSeq lists it as uncharacterized. Lineage: Eukaryota; Metazoa; Chordata; Actinopteri; Cyprinodontiformes; Poeciliidae. The transcript has 3 exons. The record is from RefSeq and is a predicted model, not a curated record.